Molecule: long non-coding RNA, 220 nt
Filed under: Lathyrus oleraceus (garden pea)
Lineage: Eukaryota; Viridiplantae; Streptophyta; Magnoliopsida; Fabales; Fabaceae
Description: Pisum sativum (pea) long non-coding RNA (PSAT_LNC042343)
Source: RNAcentral
UUCGUAAGAGGUCCCACUUCGUAAUGAGAUAGCAUUAGCUUGCCCUCGAGGGUUGAAUUGAGGUUGUCCAGGGAAUUAUCCUCCAGGUGUAGUUUGUGGAGCUUGGUUUUGUGCUACCUGUGAGAUCUGGGUUUCAAGCAUCUUGUUGUGAGUGAUUAUUUGAUCAACCUUGGUCCCUAAUUGCGUUAUCAGUUCUUUUACGUGAAUGUUCUGGUUUAGG